UGGGGAAUAUUGCACAAUGGGCGCAAGCCUGAUGCAGCAACGCCGCGUGAGGGAUGACGGCCUUCGGGUUGUAAACCUCUUUUAGUAGGGAAGAAGCGAAAGUGACGUACUGCAGAAAAAGCACCGGCUAACUACGUGCCAGCAGCCGCGGUAAUACGUAGGGUGCGAGCGUUGUCCGGAAUUAUUGGGCGUAAAGAGCUCGUAGGCGGUCUGUCGCGUCUGCUGUGAAAAAUCCCGAGGCUCAACCUCGGGCCUGCAGUGGGUACGGGCAGACUAGAGUGCGGUAGGGGAGAAUGGAAUUCCUGGUGUAGCGGUGGAAUGCGCAGAUAUCAGGAGGAACACCGAUGGCGAAGGCAGUUCUCUGGGCCCGUAACUGACGCUGAGGAGCGAAAGCGUGGGGAGCGAACAGGAUUAGAUACCCUGGUAGUCCACGCCGUAAACGUUGGGCGCUAGAUGUGGGGACCAUUCCACGGUUUCCGUGUCGCAGCUAACGCAUUAAGCGCCCCGCCUGGGGAGUACGGCCGCAAGGCUAAAACU
This 537-nucleotide ribosomal RNA is filed under the name uncultured bacterium. Its description in RNAcentral is "partial 16S ribosomal RNA". It matches the Rfam family "Bacterial small subunit ribosomal RNA", at positions 355 to 901 of the family's 1533-position model. The record is from RNAcentral.